AAAUGCGAUAAGUAGUGUGAAUUGCAGAAUUCAGUGAAUCAUCGAAUCUUUGAACGCACAUUGCGCCCCUUGGUAUUCCAUGGGGCAUGCCUGUUCGAGCGUCAUUUGUACCCUCAAGCUCUGCUUGGUGUUGGGUGUUUGUCCCGUCUCCGCGCGUGGACUCGCCCCAAAGUGAUUGGCAGCCGGCGUACUGGUCCCGGAGCGCAGCACAUGUCGCGCAAACGAGUGCCUUGGUACGGCGGCGUCCAUAAGCCCCUCUCUCACGCUCUUGACCUCGGAUCUGGUAGGGAUAACCGCUGAACUUAAGC
RNAcentral lists this unclassified non-coding RNA (308 nucleotides) under plant metagenome. Its description in RNAcentral is "partial contains 5.8S ribosomal RNA, internal transcribed spacer 2, and large subunit ribosomal RNA". The stretch from base 1 to 104 matches the Rfam family "5.8S ribosomal RNA", at positions 51 to 154 of the family's 154-position model. The record is from RNAcentral.